This 252-nucleotide long non-coding RNA is filed under the name Mytilus galloprovincialis (Mediterranean mussel). The record is from RNAcentral. Lineage: Eukaryota; Metazoa; Mollusca; Bivalvia; Mytilida; Mytilidae.
GAUUAUUCUUUUUUCUGAAAUACAUUCGGAAAGUUUAAUCACAAUAAUCUGACAAAUGUUGUCUGGAAGGAUCGCAAUUUACAUGUAGGCAUAAAAACGCAUCCAAAAGAGUUUUUCAGAAACUUGAAUUCAGUGGAAACCUUUGAUAUAUCAGAAAAUAACAUUUGGAACGUCUCUGACCAUUUGUUAGGCCCAAUGAAAAAUCUAUCUCUUUUAAAUUUAUCAAAAAAUUUACUGUAAAGCAUUCCAAAC